This 156-nucleotide unclassified non-coding RNA is filed under the name Mus musculus (house mouse). Its description in RNAcentral is "partial probably derived from hnRNA or mRNA fragment, 5' or 3' untranslated region". The record is from RNAcentral. Lineage: Eukaryota; Metazoa; Chordata; Mammalia; Rodentia; Muridae.
CCAUUUUGUGUUCUUUGUAUUCUUAAGAUGAUAAUAUAUUAUGUAUUUGAAUUGCUGAAAAUUGAAAAUGAAGUUGAAGAUAUAUGUAUAUAAGCGUAUGCUGUAUUGGUGCAAUAAUGGUAAUUAAAGAUAUUUAAAAAGGUAAAAAAAAAAAAA